UAGGGAAUCUUCCGCAAUGGACGCAAGUCUGACGGAGCAACGCCGCGUGAGUGAAGAAGGAUUUCGGUUCGUAAAACUCUGUUGUUAGAGAAGAACAGCGCAUAGAGUAACUGUUAUGCGUGUGACGGUAUCUAACCAGAAAGCCACGGCUAACUACGUGCCAGCAGCCGCGGUAAUACGUAGGUGGCAAGCGUUGUCCGGAUUUAUUGGGCGUAAAGCGAGCGCAGGCGGUCAAUUAAGUCUGAUGUGAAAGCCCCCGGCUCAACCGGGGAGGGUCAUUGGAAACUGGUUGACUUGAGUGCAGAUGAGGAGAGUGGAAUUCCAUGUGUAGCGGUGAAAUGCGUAGAUAUAUGGAGGAACACCAGUGGCGAAGGCGACUCUCUGGUCUGUAACUGACGCUGAGGCUCGAAAGCGUGGGUAGCAAACAGG
Molecule: ribosomal RNA, 429 nt
Filed under: Bacteroidota bacterium
Lineage: Bacteria; Pseudomonadati; Bacteroidota
Description: Bacteroidetes bacterium partial 16S ribosomal RNA
Rfam family: Bacterial small subunit ribosomal RNA
Source: RNAcentral